CGGCGAUGCCUCCUGUCCGUUACCCACGGAGGCACUCGAUCAUGCUGUGGGAUGCUUCUAUAAGCAGGCCUUAGACACGGGAGUUGUCGAUAGCAUGAUGUGAGGACGGGUUAGAUGCCCA
Molecule: regulatory RNA element, 121 nt
Rfam family: epsC RNA
Source: Rfam